RNAcentral lists this microRNA precursor (84 nucleotides) under Musca domestica (house fly). RNAcentral's name for it is "mir-263 microRNA precursor family". It matches the Rfam family "mir-263 microRNA precursor family". Lineage: Eukaryota; Metazoa; Arthropoda; Insecta; Diptera; Muscidae. The record is from Rfam by way of RNAcentral.
CGGUGUUAACUCUUGGCACUGGGAGAAUUCACAGUUGUUAUCUGUUAGAUUCUGUGGUUCUUUGGGUGUCAAAUGUUAAUGCGA